This 538-nucleotide ribosomal RNA is filed under the name Bifidobacterium longum subsp. suillum. RNAcentral's name for it is "bacterial SSU rRNA". It matches the Rfam family "Bacterial small subunit ribosomal RNA", at positions 160 to 712 of the family's 1533-position model. Lineage: Bacteria; Bacillati; Actinomycetota; Actinomycetes; Bifidobacteriales; Bifidobacteriaceae. The record is from RNAcentral.
GUGGUAAUGCCGGAUGCUCCAGUUGAUCGCAUGGUCUUCUGGGAAAGCUUUCGCGGUAUGGGAUGGGGUCGCGUCCUAUCAGCUUGACGGCGGGGUAACGGCCCACCGUGGCUUCGACGGGUAGCCGGCCUGAGAGGGCGACCGGCCACAUUGGGACUGAGAUACGGCCCAGACUCCUACGGGAGGCAGCAGUGGGGAAUAUUGCACAAUGGGCGCAAGCCUGAUGCAGCGACGCCGCGUGAGGGAUGGAGGCCUUCGGGUUGUAAACCUCUUUUAUCGGGGAGCAAGCGAGAGUGAGUUUACCCGUUGAAUAAGCACCGGCUAACUACGUGCCAGCAGCCGCGGUAAUACGUAGGGUGCAAGCGUUAUCCGGAAUUAUUGGGCGUAAAGGGCUCGUAGGCGGUUCGUCGCGUCCGGUGUGAAAGUCCAUCGCUUAACGGUGGAUCCGCGCCGGGUACGGGCGGGCUUGAGUGCGGUAGGGGAGACUGGAAUUCCCGGUGUAACGGUGGAAUGUGUAGAUAUCGAAAAAGAACACCAA